This 117-nucleotide small nuclear RNA is filed under the name Penaeus chinensis. RNAcentral describes it as "U5 spliceosomal RNA". It matches the Rfam family "U5 spliceosomal RNA". From Rfam's summary of the family: U5 RNA is a component of both types of known spliceosome. The precise function of this molecule is unknown, though it is known that the 5' loop is required for splice site selection and p220 binding, and that both the 3' stem-loop and the Sm site are important for Sm protein binding and cap methylation. Lineage: Eukaryota; Metazoa; Arthropoda; Malacostraca; Decapoda; Penaeidae. The record is from RNAcentral.
UAGCUCUGGUUUCCCUUCAAAUGGAUAAUAUUUUUGCCUUUUACUAAAUACUUCCGUGGAGUGGAACAACUCGAUGAGUCUUACUCAAUUCUCUCUAUAGCCCACUUCCCUGGGUUC